RNAcentral lists this ribosomal RNA (253 nucleotides) under uncultured bacterium. Its description in RNAcentral is "partial 16S ribosomal RNA". It matches the Rfam family "Bacterial small subunit ribosomal RNA", at positions 524 to 776 of the family's 1533-position model. The record is from RNAcentral.
UACGUAGGGACCGAGCGUUAUCCGGAUUCAUUGGGCGUAAAGAGCUCGUAGGCGGCUUUUUAAGUCAGGGGUGAAAUCCUAGAGCUCAACUCCAGAACUGCCUUUGAUACUGGGAAGCUUGAGUCCGGAAGAGGUGAGUGGAACUCCGAGUGUAGAGGUGAAAUUCGUAGAUAUUCGGAAGAACACCAGUGGCGAAGGCGGCUCACUGGUCCGGUACUGACGCUGAGGAGCGAAAGCGUGGGGAGCGAACAGG